CUCUCCUCUUCCUCCCCCUCCUCCAUACAUACCGACCUUUCUACCUUCACUUCCGGAUCUCCCCUCCUCCCUGCACCACAUCUCGUACCCCCAAAAAGCUGAGAGGUAGGCCGGGAGCGAGCUGAGACACAUAGAUACAGGAGGUGGUAGAACCAUCAAGAUGCAAGCGAGGUCAAGGCGGAUAAGCUAGCUAGCUGGAGAUACACAUACUCUACUAUACUCCAUAAUAUGGAUAGAUCAGGAAGCCUUUCGUCUUUGAGGGGAAUGUUGUCUGGCUCGGGGCCGCCGCCGCCGCUCCUUCCUUCUCUAGUCUCUCUUCUCUCCUAGCAGCUACUCUUCGCUUCCUACUCCUAUCUCGAUCCCUCUCUUCUUCUUCUUCUUCUUCUUCCUCUUCCCCCCUCUCUUGGAUCGAGACCGAGCGGACGGAGACGAGUGGUGUAGAUCUCGGACCAGGCUUCAUUCCCCCCAAAAUGAAGGGCUCCCCAUGAUCUUGAUCUGCGCGGGCCUCCACCUCCAUCAGAUGAGCUCCAUCCGCUGGUCAAGCUGGGGGUACGUACAUGCAAAUCUGAACCGGGUAAGCUAAUAUAGCUGAUUUGCUGAAUA
Molecule: precursor RNA, 603 nt
Filed under: Zea mays
Lineage: Eukaryota; Viridiplantae; Streptophyta; Magnoliopsida; Poales; Poaceae
Description: precursor miRNA zma-miR166a
Rfam family: mir-166 microRNA precursor family (bases 255-470)
Source: RNAcentral